UUGACGCGUUUGCACGAGCGAAUCGGCGCGUACGCGUUUUCUAAUCAAAAACAAAUUUCAGUUUUCGAGUCGAGUUUAUCGAGCGGAUUGCAAAUACAAAGCAAUAAAUUGUUUGACUAACAAAAUAAAAAAUUUAUAAAAAAAAAAAAAUUCAAAAGUAUAACGGUGUACAAAUAAAUACUAGCACCCGCAUGUGCUGUGUUGUUAUUGUUGUUAAUGAUACUGGUGUGCAGAUUUAAGCCUGAAGACGAAGUCUGCAAAAUAAAUCAUAAAUAAUCAGUAAAGCAAAAACAGCAAAGUGGAAAAUGCAUUCGGCAAUGAUAAACCCCCAUUUUAGGUUCACCAAGCAAAUUUUGUAUAAAAAAGUGUCUCAAAGUGAUUCACAUCAGCAUUCGCAGUGAAAUUGUGGAAAAAUAUUUGGCAUAAAGCAAUAAACUUAGUAAGCCAAAGAAGUUUUCAACUUUGCACUUUCGGUUGCUCAACCGAACUGCAAAACCAAAAAAGAAAUACAAAUUUAAAAUUCAACGAAACUGGAUUCCGCCAUCGUGGAUACUAUCAGCCAUUUGAAAAUGGUCUUUGGUGGCCGUUUUCGCAUCAGAAGCUAUUUAUGGAUGUAUUGGAAAUGGAAAGAAAUGAUAAAAAGAAAGGACAGAGUCUGGGUUUUGAG
Long non-coding RNA from Bactrocera latifrons, 667 nucleotides. RefSeq lists it as uncharacterized. The record is from RefSeq and is a predicted model, not a curated record. The transcript has 3 exons. NCBI's taxonomy places the organism in Eukaryota, Metazoa, Arthropoda, Insecta, Diptera, Tephritidae.